ACCACAAUUUGUGAAUGGAAGAGGAGUGAUUUUGGUUUUGCCCAUAAAAGUUGUAAGAUUUGGACAUCAGCAAAUGACACAGUGAAUGAGCUGAAGAACUGUGCUAGUCUGUACUCAGCUGGGAUGAGAAGUGACUCUCUGGUCCUGAGCCAGCAAAGUAAUCAACGCUGUUUAACCACUUCUAAUUGCACAGGGUCGGUGCUUUAAAGUUUGAAAUAAGGUUGUCAUACUUCAAAGUUAAAGUUAAAUACAGGGGCUGACUGAUGGCAGACUGUGCUCAUUCAAUUCCUGUUCUACACAAUCUAGAGAGCCCCUGCAGGGAACACAAAGAUGACUGGCAAAAAAAAACAGCCAAAGAGGU
Molecule: non-coding RNA, 361 nt
Organism: Sturnus vulgaris (Common starling)
Lineage: Eukaryota; Metazoa; Chordata; Aves; Passeriformes; Sturnidae
Source: RefSeq, a predicted model, not a curated record